Molecule: transfer RNA, 72 nt
Filed under: Ornithorhynchus anatinus (platypus)
Lineage: Eukaryota; Metazoa; Chordata; Mammalia; Monotremata; Ornithorhynchidae
Rfam family: tRNA
About the family: Transfer RNA (tRNA) molecules are approximately 80 nucleotides in length. Their secondary structure includes four short double-helical elements and three loops (D, anti-codon, and T loops). Further hydrogen bonds mediate the characteristic L-shaped molecular structure. tRNAs have two regions of fundamental functional importance: the anti-codon, which is responsible for specific mRNA codon recognition, and the 3' end, to which the tRNAs corresponding amino acid is attached (by aminoacyl-tRNA synthetases). tRNAs cope with the degeneracy of the genetic code in two manners: having more than one tRNA (with a specific anti-codon) for a particular amino acid; and 'wobble' base-pairing, i.e. permitting non-standard base-pairing at the 3rd anti-codon position.
Source: Rfam by way of RNAcentral
AGCAGCGUGGCUCAGUGGAAAGAGCAUGGGCUUGGGAGUCAGAGAUCAUGGGUUCGAAUCCCAGCUCUGCCA